RNAcentral lists this ribosomal RNA (134 nucleotides) under Habropoda laboriosa. Lineage: Eukaryota; Metazoa; Arthropoda; Insecta; Hymenoptera; Apidae. The record is from RNAcentral.
ACCAGCGGCCGUAGCCGUGCAUGUCUACCGAUUCCCGUUCGAUCACCGAAGUCAAGAUGCACUGGGCGGCGUUCCGUAAGAAGGAUGGGUGACCGCUCUACAUCCGUCUCUGGAAGCCGCCCGUGCUGCUGGUU